GAUGAACGCUGGCGGCGUGCUUAACACAUGCAAGUCGAACAAUGAAGCCCAGCUUGCUGGGUGGAUUAGUGGCGAACGGGUGAGUAACACGUGAGUAACCUGCCCUUAACUCUGGGAUAAGCCUGGGAAACUGGGUCUAAUACCGGAUAGGAGCGUCCACCGCAUGGUGGGUGUUGGAAAGAUUUAUCGGUUUUGGAUGGACUCGCGGCCUAUCAGCUUGUUGGUGAGGUAAUGGCUCACCAAGGCGACGACGGGUAGCCGGCCUGAGAGGGUGACCGGCCACACUGGGACUGAGACACGGCCCAGACUCCUACGGGAGGCAGCAGUGGGGAAUAUUGCACAAUGGGCGCAAGCCUGAUGCAGCGACGCCGCGUGAGGGAUGACGGCCUUCGGGUUGUAAACCUCUUUCAGUAGGGAAGAAGCGAAAGUGACGGUACCUGCAGAAGAAGCACCGGCUAACUACGUG
RNAcentral lists this ribosomal RNA (466 nucleotides) under uncultured bacterium. RNAcentral's name for it is "partial 16S ribosomal RNA". It matches the Rfam family "Bacterial small subunit ribosomal RNA", at positions 28 to 507 of the family's 1533-position model. The record is from RNAcentral.